This 448-nucleotide ribosomal RNA is filed under the name uncultured bacterium. RNAcentral's name for it is "bacterial SSU rRNA". It matches the Rfam family "Bacterial small subunit ribosomal RNA", at positions 329 to 793 of the family's 1533-position model. The record is from RNAcentral.
AACCAGACUCCUACGGGAGGCAGCAGUGGGGAAUAUUGGGCAAUGGAGGAAACUCUGACCCAGCAACGCCGCGUGAAGGAUGAAGGUUUUCGGAUUGUAAACUUCUGUUGCGAGGGAUGAAGAAUGACGGUACCUCGUGAGGAAGCCCCGGCAAACUACGUGCCAGCAGCCGCGGUAAUACGUAGGGGGCAAGCGUUAUCCGGAUUUACUGGGUGUAAAGGGGGCGCAGACGGCAAUGCAAGCCAGGAGUGAAAGCCCGGGGCCCAACCCCGGGACUGCUCUUGGAACUGCAUGGCUGGAGUACAGGAGGGGCAGGCGGAAUUCCUAGUGUAGCGGUGAAAUGCGUAGAUAUUAGGAGGAACACCGGUGGCGAAGGCGGCCUGCUGGACUGUGACUGACGUUGAGGCCCGAAGGCGUGGGGAGCAAACAGGAUUAGAUACCCCUGUAU